CAGGCAUCUGUUUGGAGCACAGAGCAACUGGGGGAAGGGAACCCAAAAAGCUAACACUUAUUUCAGAGAGGUGUGAGCUUGGUGAGCGUUUUGGAAAAUAAGAUAAAAUUAGCACACUAGUUUUAAAUGAUUUACAGGCUACAUAAUUUCAUCCAAUGCUUGUUUUAUCUUUUAAAUAUUAAGUGAUAACUUUUAUUUGACAUAAUCAUCUUGCUGGAAAUCUAUGCUGAUCAACAUAAUAGGAACUUGAAACUAACUUGGAGACUAGAGCUAAGAUUAAAAUUACAGAGAUGACAGCUCAUUGUACAGCGCAUCAAAAGGCUGAGAGAACAGGGCCCACAAACAGAAAGCAGCUCGACCGUCACCAUCAAGCAGCUUGACUAUCCACCAUCAGAGAAAUGAGAGUUUGUGAUCAAAGCAUGAAGGAGACUGGGGAUGUUUUUUUCAAGUAAGAAGGCAAAGACAGCCUCUUGAAUGAUGUGAACAGUGAUGGCUUUCUCCGAGAGUAAGACAAGAAAGCUUUGUAAAUGGCGUUGAAUUUCCUGCUCUUGGCAGGCCCUGCUCAGCACAGAAGAAAAGACUGAUCAGGUUGUCCAAGAUGGAGCCCUUUAUCCACGGUAGUCCACUUGUCUCUUUAAGAUUAAAGGAAAGCAAUCAUUAAAAA
Nomascus leucogenys (northern white-cheeked gibbon) is the source of this 664-nucleotide long non-coding RNA. RefSeq lists it as uncharacterized. NCBI's taxonomy places the organism in Eukaryota, Metazoa, Chordata, Mammalia, Primates, Hylobatidae. The transcript has 2 exons. The record is from RefSeq and is a predicted model, not a curated record.